CCUACGGGUGGCAGCAGUGAGGAAUAUUGGUCAAUGGGCGCGAGCCUGAACCAGCCAAGUAGCGUGAAGGAUGACUGCCCUAUGGGUUGUAAACUUCUUUUAUCAAGGAAUAAAGUGAGGCACGUGUGCCUUUUUGUAUGUACUUUAUGAAUAAGGAUCGGCUAACUCCGUGCCAGCAGCCGCGGUAAUACGGAGGAUCCGAGCGUUAUCCGGAUUUAUUGGGUUUAAAGGGGGCGUAGAUGGGUUGUUAAGUCAGUUGUGAAAGUUUGCGGCUCAACCGUCAAAGUGCAUUUGAAACUGGUAGCCUUGAGUACAGGUGAGGUAUGCGGAAGGCGUGGUGUAGCGGUGAAAUGCUUAGAGAUCACGAAGAACUCCGAUUGCGAAGGCAGCAUACUGAACUGCAACUGACGUUGAUGCUCGAAAGUGUGGGUAUCAAACAGGAUUAGAUACCCGAGUAGUC
RNAcentral lists this ribosomal RNA (460 nucleotides) under uncultured bacterium. RNAcentral describes it as "partial 16S ribosomal RNA". It matches the Rfam family "Bacterial small subunit ribosomal RNA", at positions 338 to 795 of the family's 1533-position model. The record is from RNAcentral.